Phyllostomus discolor (pale spear-nosed bat) is the source of this 647-nucleotide long non-coding RNA. RefSeq lists it as uncharacterized. NCBI's taxonomy places the organism in Eukaryota, Metazoa, Chordata, Mammalia, Chiroptera, Phyllostomidae. The record is from RefSeq and is a predicted model, not a curated record. The transcript is spliced from 2 exons.
AAGAGAGGACACGCUGGUGAGCGCUCCCGCCCGCCCGUGGGGCCUCCAGCUCUGGAAAAGCUGCGAGAAAGGCAGAGCGGCAGCGCGUGGGAAGGCCUGCUCUCGGAGUCAACCAUCUAAGGGGGGAGUGCGCCUGGGAACCACAGCCCGCAGCGCAGCGCUGGAGGAAGGUGGAGCUGAAGGUCUGGGACGAGCCCGGGUGGACAGGCAGGGUUGAUAGGCAGUCCUGUCUACAGAGGAACAAGGCCCACGGGAAAGGUGGGGCUCUGCCUACGCUGGGAGCAAAGGCAGGAGCCCCAGGUGCAGUCCCAGAGAGAAGUAAGAGGACAGCUGGGUUCCAUCCUGUGGUCCUCGGCUAGGAAGCAACCCAGGACACCCGCCCGGACCUGCCCGCCACCAGGCGAACUUCCGGGACAGGGAGAAGCCUACAGCUGCGCGCUGACUAAGCCUUGGCAGAUGGCCCUCCGGUUCUCUGGCUGCCUGGUUUUGGGGCCCAGGGAGAGUGACCCCGACACAGGAGCGGCAGUCACCUUCGGCACCACACUCACCCCAUCCAGGAGCGGAUUCUUGCUCGCGGUGAGUACUCCUUGGCUUUACCUCCGAACCGGACCAACGAGGGACCGCAAGGGCACUCCCUAGAAAGCCCC